Long non-coding RNA from Chinchilla lanigera (long-tailed chinchilla), 244 nucleotides. RefSeq lists it as uncharacterized. NCBI's taxonomy places the organism in Eukaryota, Metazoa, Chordata, Mammalia, Rodentia, Chinchillidae. The record is from RefSeq and is a predicted model, not a curated record. The transcript has 3 exons.
GAGUGUUGGUAAAACAGCAUUUCCGGAAAGAACACUCAGCCACUACCUCUGGCACUUUUUUCUUUUAUUUUUCGAGAGGCAUGAUGAGCUGAACCAUAGGAAAAAUAACAACCAAAGACCAUAAUGGCUCAUCGGUGGAUAUUGUGUCCCAUCUGUUGGUUCUACUAAGAAAGGCUCCAGGGUGUUGCAUCCAAAAAGCUUGCUGGGUCUUGCUAUGCAGUCCAGGUUGACUUUGAACUUCCGG